CCCGCUGAACUUAAGCAUAUCAAUAAGCGGAGGAAAAGAAACUAACAAGGAUUCCCCUAGUAACUGCGAGUGAAGCGGGAAAAGCUCAAAUUUGAAAUCUGGCGUCUCCGGCGUCUGAGUUGUAUUCUGGAGAAGCGAUUGUACGUGCUGGACCGUGUACAAGUCCCUCGGAACAGGGCGUCAUCGAGGGUGAGAAUACCCUCUUUGACACACACUGACAGUGCUCUGCGAUGCGCUCUCCUAUAGUCGAGUUGAUUGGGAAAGCAGCUCAGAUCUGGAUAGUAAAUUCCAUCUCAAGCUAAGUAUUGUCUAGAGGCCGAUAGCGAACAAGUACCGUGCGGGAAAGAUGAGAUGCACUUUGCUUAGAGAGUGAAACAGUCCGUGAAAUCGUCGAAAGAUCAACGCUUGUAGUCAGGCGCGUCUUCUGGAACUCAGACUUGCUUCUGCUCGGUGCUCUUUCCAAUUCGGCUCAUCAGCAUCGGUUACGGUGGGGCAGACAAAGGCGGAGCGAAGGUGGUCGCUCCCGCGUGUGUUAUAACCCUCCGUCGUCCGUGUCCCCCCGGAUCGACGAAUCCCGCGCAAGCCUGGGAUGCUGGCGUAAUGGCUUUAAGCGACCCGUCUUGAAACACGG
This 631-nucleotide ribosomal RNA is filed under the name uncultured fungus. RNAcentral's name for it is "eukaryotic LSU rRNA". It matches the Rfam family "Eukaryotic large subunit ribosomal RNA", at positions 24 to 664 of the family's 3401-position model. The record is from RNAcentral. Lineage: Eukaryota; Fungi.